Molecule: ribosomal RNA, 354 nt
Filed under: Triticum aestivum (bread wheat)
Lineage: Eukaryota; Viridiplantae; Streptophyta; Magnoliopsida; Poales; Poaceae
Description: partial small subunit ribosomal RNA
Source: RNAcentral
AUGCCUAAUAGCAUAAAUCUACAUAUUGUUGGGCUAGUUGCAGUUUGUUGGGCCGUGUGAAAAUUACAUAAAAGAGCUUGUUUUGAUCAGAAGUUAGUCAGGUCGCCUGCUGAACUGAUAUGCUAUGCAUGUUGUUUUAUGUGUUAUUGGGCAGGCCUGCAAUAUAAAGAGGAUUGAAUGAUGAUGGAGCAAGGUGUUGAGCUGCUGCAAAGGGAGGCAUUGACAGCUCAUGGUGAUGGCCAGGGUGAGAGAAGAGGAAGAAUCCUGCAGGUGGAGGCUGGUAUAAAUGAAGAAGAUGAAGAGGCAAACAAUGAUGGCAACAAUGUUAUGGAUGAAGACCGAAGGAUAAGAUAA